AUAUCUCUCUGUACGGGAAGGAUGAGAAGCUUCGACCAAGGUUCGAUUCGAGCGCAGCGAGAAAGCGUUGCCGCAGGCAACGACCCGAAGGGCGAAGCGCGCAGCGCUGAGUCAUCCUUCCCCCACCA
Molecule: small RNA, 128 nt
Filed under: Salmonella enterica subsp. enterica serovar Typhimurium
Lineage: Bacteria; Pseudomonadati; Pseudomonadota; Gammaproteobacteria; Enterobacterales; Enterobacteriaceae
Also listed under: 2 other names
Description: RtT sRNA
Rfam family: RtT RNA
About the family: This family represents a bacterial cis-regulatory element known as RtT RNA. The exact function of RtT is unknown although it is thought that it may be involved in changing the cellular response in relation to amino acid starvation.
Source: RNAcentral